This 615-nucleotide long non-coding RNA is filed under the name Lotus japonicus. RNAcentral describes it as "long non-coding RNA (LJAP_LNC000186)". Lineage: Eukaryota; Viridiplantae; Streptophyta; Magnoliopsida; Fabales; Fabaceae. The record is from RNAcentral.
UAGAGUAACAAACCACAAUGCCUCUUUAAGCUAUCCCUUGCUACUUUUAGCUCCUUUUAAAGCUUCAAUUUGUACUUUGUAAUGGUGAUAAGUUUGCUCAUUUGGCUGGAAGGUCUUUCUUAUUUGUUUUGCUCCGUGGCUGUGUUGAUUUCUAUGAUUUAUUUACAAAUAUUUUUUCUUUACUAAACAAGCUAAUCGUUCUUAUUAUGUGGGACCGUGGAAUGAACAUUGUCUAUCACAUGACAGACAACUAAGGAAUUAAAUCUCUUAUGUAGUUAAUCAGUUGUUCUUCGAUUGAGAAAUCACUUUCUGGAGCUUGCUUUUAGUUCCUCAGUGAAAAAAAAGAUGGGUGUUUUGUUACUUUUAUUGUUAGUGCGUAAUCAGUGUUGGAUAGUUUUAAAUCGCAUUUAGACAUAACUGAUCUCUUGAACUGUUUUUCUGGAUUUCUACUGCAUUUUCCUUGGUGUUUAAAGUAUGUAGAUGCUACAGAUUUUGGGAAAAGGGCGGUGGUUCAUAUUACCUUAAAUGAAUGUGAUAGACUUUGACCAGUUUGAUUGUUCAUUUAGACCUUGCUACAUUCCUCAACUCCACGAAUCUGAAGGGUUGUUACAGUAG